AUACUUACCUGGCAGGGGAGAUACCAUGAUCAGGAAGGUGGUUUUCCCAGGGCGAGGCUCAUCCAUUGCACUUUAGGAUGUGCUGACCCCUGCGAUUUCCCCAAAUGCGGGAAACUCGACUGCAAAAUUUGUGGUAGUGGGGGACUGCGUUCGCGCUCUUCCCUG
This 165-nucleotide small nuclear RNA is filed under the name Nannospalax galili (Upper Galilee mountains blind mole rat). RNAcentral's name for it is "U1 spliceosomal RNA (ENSNGAG00000002899.1)". It matches the Rfam family "U1 spliceosomal RNA". Rfam says of the family: U1 is a small nuclear RNA (snRNA) component of the spliceosome (involved in pre-mRNA splicing). Its 5' end forms complementary base pairs with the 5' splice junction, thus defining the 5' donor site of an intron. Lineage: Eukaryota; Metazoa; Chordata; Mammalia; Rodentia; Spalacidae. The record is from Rfam by way of RNAcentral.